UACGUAGGGUGCAAGCGUUGUCCGGAAUUAUUGGGCGUAAAGAGCUCGUAGGCGGUCUGUUGCGUCGGCUGUGAAAACCCGAGGCUCAACCUCGGGCCUGCAGCCGAUACGGGCAGACUAGAGUUCGGCAGGGGAGACUGGAAUUCCUGGUGUAGCGGUGAAAUGCGCAGAUAUCAGGAAGAACACCCGUGGCUAAGGCGGCUCUCUAGUACGGUACUGACGCUGAGACGCGAAAGCGUGGGGAGCGAACAGG
Molecule: ribosomal RNA, 253 nt
Filed under: uncultured bacterium
Lineage: Bacteria
Description: partial 16S ribosomal RNA
Rfam family: Bacterial small subunit ribosomal RNA
Source: RNAcentral